Molecule: ribosomal RNA, 498 nt
Filed under: uncultured bacterium
Lineage: Bacteria
Description: partial 16S ribosomal RNA
Rfam family: Bacterial small subunit ribosomal RNA
Source: RNAcentral
GACGAACGCUGGCGGCGUGCCUAAUACAUGCAAGUCGAACGAGAGCACCCGGUGCUUGCACUGGUCAAUCUAGUGGCGAACGGGUGAGUAACACGUGGGUAACCUGCCCAUCAGAGGGGGAUAACAUCCGGAAACGGAUGCUAAAACCGCAUAGGUCUUCGAACCGCAUGGUUUGAAGAGGAAAAGAGGCGCAAGCUUCUGCUGAUGGAUGGACCCGCGGUGCAUUAGCUAGUUGGUGAGGUAACGGCUCACCAAGGCCGUGAUGCAUAGCCGACCUGAGAGGGUGAUCGGCCACAUUGGGACUGAGACACGGCCCAAACUCCUACGGGAGGCAGCAGUAGGGAAUCUUCCGCAAUGGACGCAAGUCUGACGGAGCAACGCCGUGUGAGUGAAGAAGGUUUUCGGAUCGUAAAACUCUGUUGUUAGAGAAGAACAAGUGCUAGAGUAACUGUUAGCGCCUUGACGGUAUCUAACCAGAAAGCCACGGCUAACUACGUG